Non-coding RNA from Vicugna pacos (alpaca), 1348 nucleotides. The record is from RefSeq and is a predicted model, not a curated record. NCBI's taxonomy places the organism in Eukaryota, Metazoa, Chordata, Mammalia, Artiodactyla, Camelidae.
CAGUGGUGGCAAAGGAGACAGAGAGGUGGGGCCCAGGUCGUGCAGGGCUUGAUGGCUCCUGUGAGGGCUUUUCCUCAGGGCAGCGGAACCAUGACUGGGUACGGAGCAGGGGCCCGGGUCCUGAAUGCUAUGCAGGAAAUGGAGCAGGUGUCUGCUGAGGAGAUGUGCGUGGAGGAGGCUGUCCCUGUAGACUGUGUAGGCAGGGAAGGCUCCUCUGAGGAGGUGACAUCUGAGCUGAGCCCUUGUAUAGACCGUGUUUCCACCUUCUGUAGACUGGAUGCUUUCAUCUGCCCUGCAGGCCUAUGCAGGACACACUCUGUUCUCAGUCACCUGGACUUGGCCUCCUGCCUCCCUUGUGGGCCCUCCCACCCCAGAAGGAGUCCUUCUAGAUCUAAUUCACUACCCCCUCCACUGGACUUGGACUCACACUGAGCCACUGUCCACCUGCCCAACUCAACCAGAGUCAAGUCCAGACACUUGGGGGAGCCUCUCCACCCCAGAGCCCAUGAACUUACUCAAAUGGCCAGUCCUCAGCCUGCUCACAUGCCUCACCCUCCCCUCCUGCUGAAAUCUUGUGACAGAUCCUGUCCACAGUACCCUGCUCCUCCGAUCCUGACCCCAGGCUUUCCCAUGGGGUGUGACCCCGCAUGGGGUGCAGUCCCCUCCUCCAGUCUGGCUCAGGGACCCCACCAGAACUGAUGGCUUUUAGUCUCCUAUGGGAGCAGGAACAGGCUCAAGGUCUCCCUACAAGGCUAGUGUAAUUGGACACAUUCCUGGAUCCAUUGCAAGUGAAGGCAUGAUGGUCUUCCUACACAGCUGGUGGAAUGUGAUUCGGCUCUGAGUCUCCUGCAGGAGUAGGCUUAGGGUCUCCUUGAAAGAUUGGUGAAAUGGGACACAGUGCUGUGUCUCCUGCAGUAGCAGGCUCAGGUUCUCCCUACAGUAUUGGUAAAAUUGGACCUGGCUCUAAUUCUCCUGCAGUUGCAGACUGAGGGUAUAACUGCAUGGCUGGUUGAGUGUGAAGGAACAGCAAGUCUUAAUACAUUGGCCCACUCCUGGGAAAAGGAUAAACAGGGCUUGGUGCAUGGUCUCUUGCAUUGUCUGAAAAAGCCCCUUGAGAUGUGUUGAUUCUGAUGACCUCUUCCAAGAACUUGAACACUUUUAGAAUCUCUGUCAACUCAUCUUGUUUAGACUGAAGGAAUCUGCCUUUCAUCAGUUCUUGGAAUAGAGAUCAACACAAAAGGAAAGAGGGAAGAAAAAAUUACCAAUCUAUCUGUUGAGAAAUCAGCUGAAGACAUUAAAAAGUUCUCUUGCAAUGCACUUAUUUCUAUUUUGGUGCAUUUAGAAUCAU